RNAcentral lists this long non-coding RNA (3302 nucleotides) under Sus scrofa (pig). RNAcentral's name for it is "lncRNA (ENSSSCG00060045061.1)". The record is from RNAcentral. Lineage: Eukaryota; Metazoa; Chordata; Mammalia; Artiodactyla; Suidae.
CGUGAUCCUCUGUGCGAGUCAUCAGGUGCCCGUGAACUUGUUGCUUGAUUUUGGGGCUCCUGAGGGGGACGUUUUUAAAGGGCCCACUUACCCUGUCAUCUCUGCUUCCAGACUUGAUUCCAUUGGAUGCUCAGUUCUCAGCCCAUGUAGAUCAUAUGUGAGGCCUCCAGACUCUGAUGCCUGAACCUCGCCCGGUUCCAUCCUCAUCUCUUGUUCUCAGGAGACCUCGUCCGAAGAUGGACAAACACUGGCUGCUCUCUGAGUCCGUCUGGCCCCUCAGAGCCUGCAUGCAGCUGCCUCAAGCCCUGUCUGUGUGUUGACACCCCUCAGACCCACCUUCACUCUUGUCUGUAAUGUGGAGGUGGAUUCCAUCUUAUGUCACUGUUACUUGGAAAAACUAAGGACAGUGGACAGAGAGAGAGCCUAUCUUUGAUUCUUUGAUUCCCAUUCCUAAAGGGGAGCUUUUUUUUUUUUUUUUGGUUUUUUUAGGGCCACACUCUUGGCACCCGGAAGUUCCCAGGCUAGGGGUCGAAUCAGAGCUGUAGCCGUCAGCCUACGCCACAGCCACGGCAAUGCUGGAUCCGAGUGGCAUCUGCAACCUACACCACAACUCACGGCAACACUGGAUCCUUAAGCCACGGAGCAAGGCCAGGGAUCGAACCCGCAACCUCAUGGUUCCUAGUCAGAUUCAUUAACCACUGCGCCACCACGGGAAUGCCAUCAACUUACAACAUGUAAAUCUUUCAUUCUUUCCCUUACUCAUAAAAGAAGUCCUGGAGUUAAAACGGGAGUUAAAACGGGACCGUUGUAUGCGACUUGCUAAAUCAACUCUUCUUUUUCUUAAAGGUCACUGAGCCCCGUGCUCCCUUGUGGGCACCCACCUGUCCCUCCUCAGGCUCUUUCUCGGGCCCCAUCUUCCUCCCUUGAUGUGGGUGGACACACUGUUAUUUCCUGGCAUAUUUCGUUUAUUGUCCUGAACUUCCCCGUCUCCACAGCACUUUUCCACUCAGCCCUCCUCCGCCUUCCACCUCGAUACUUACACUGUCAACAUAACACCCCUUUCUCUAUGGACAGAUGUUCUUAGGCCAUCACAGCCCUGACGACUCCGAAACCACUUCCAGGAGCUCCCGUGAUGGCUCCGCGGAAGUGAGUCUGACGGGUUUGGCCUUGCCGUGAGCUGUGGUGUAGGUUGUAGACACGACUCGGAUCCCGCGUUGUUGUGGCUGUGGUGGAGGCCGGUGGUCACAGCUCCAAUUUGACCCCAUACGCUGUGGGUGCGGCCCUAAAAAGUUAAAAAGAAGAAGAAGAAGAAAAGAAACCGUUUCAGGAAGGGAUGGUGACAACCUUGGGAGUUACACAGCUCCUUUCUUCUCGAAUCUCCCUGGACAUUUGCCUUUAAACUCCUGCUUUUGUUGGAGUAUUUUGUAGUCUGUUCUCCUCGGGAGGCCUUCAUGUUCAAGAAGCCAAAAGCACGUCGUCUCAGCCUGUCAGGCGAGGUUCACACGCUGGUUCUCAAGACUUUCUGUGUCAGUUGGGAUCAUGUACAGAAACCUGUGAUUUCACCCCCCUGACUUGAAAAUUUGUGAUAGUUUCCCCCAUGCCUUUUUAUUUAAAAAAAAAAUUUUUUUUUGGCUGUGCCUGCAACAUAUAAAAAUGGCCAUGCCAGGGAUCAAACUCGUGCUGCAACAGUGACCCAAACCACAGCCUUGGCAAUGGUAGGUCCUUAACCAUAGGCUACCAGACAACUCCUCGAGCCUUAUCUUUUUUUUCUUUCUUUUUUUUUUUUUUUAAAUGCUUUUUAAGGGCUACAUUCACAGUAUAUGAAGGUUCCCAGGCUAGGGGUCAAAUCAGAGCUACAGCUGCCGGCUUAGCCACAGCCACAGCCUCACCAGAUCUGAGCCACGUCUGCAACCUACACCACAGUUCACAAUAAUGCCAGAUCCUUAACCCACUGAGCGAGGCCAGGGAUCGAACCUGCAACCUCGUGGUUCCUAGUCGGAUUCAUUUCCACUGUGCCACGAUGGGAGCUCCUUCUUUUCUUUCUUUCUUNUUUUUUUUUUUUUUUUUUUUUUUUUUUUUUUUUUUUUUUUUUUUUUUUUUUUUUUUUGCUUUUUCUUGAGACUUUCAAAGGAAAUUGGUAAUGUUAGAUGGCUUGAAAUGGUGCAGAUUUUUACAGCAAAAGAAUCAAAAUUUGCUUUUAUAUAAAAAGAUAUGUUAAUAUUUUGUCGUUUAUUAUGGUAUCCCUUUUUUGCAUUAUAUAUUUUAUGCUUUUCUUUUGCAAUUUAUUCUCAACAGUAUUUGGUGUAACCCUAGUUAAUUUUUUUUUUUUUUUUCUGUCUUUUUGCCUUUUCUAGGGCCGAUUCCGUGGUAUGUGGAGGUUCCCAGGCUAGGGAUCGAAUUGGAGCUGUAGCCACCAACCUACACCACAGCCACAGCAACGUGGGAUCCUAGCCGCGUCUGCAUCCCACACCAUGGCUCACAGCAACACUGGAUCCUUAACCCACUGAGCAAGGGCAGGGCCGAACCCGCAACCUCAUGGUUCCUAGUCGGAUUCGUUAACCACUGUGCCACAACAGGAACUCCAACCCUAGUUAAAUUUAAAUAAAUUCACAGAUUGCUUGCUCUUCAUGGCAUAUAUUUUGGUGCUAGUGAACUGCAUAUUUUAGGGCACUGUACAGGUAGGGAGUUGCUCCAUCUAUUGGCUGUUUAUAUAACUGGAGACUAUGUCAUUUAUUAAUAUUUCAUUGUGGUUUAGAGGUGAUGGUCUUUCAGAACGUUUUUGCUUUUUUUCUUUAGGACCACACCUACUGCAUAUGGACGUUUGCAGGGUAGGGGUCACAUUCGGAGCUGCAGCUGCUGGCCUAUGCCACAGCCGCAGCAAUGCUGGAUCCAGGCCUCAUCUACAACCUACACCAUAGCUCACAGCAAUACCGGAUCUUUAACCCACUGAGCAAGGCUAGGGAUCCAACCCACAUCCUCAUGGAUACUAGUCGUGUUUGUUAGCACUCGGCUACAGUGGGAACUCUCCAGAAGUUUUUAUGUUGCUUCAUGGGUACACAGUUUUACACGAAGAAUUUAGAAGAGCAUGUUGUUUUUUAAAACUGUUUUAUCAAAUUCUCCAUUUUGGAGUUCCCGCUGUGGCUCAGCAGGAUGGAUGGUUUCUCUGCAGGGGCAGGGAUGCAGAUUUGGUUACGCCCAGCACAGUGAAUGAAGGCUCUAGCGUGACCACAGCUGCAGUAAAGACUGCAGCUCUGACUCAGAUUUGAUGGCUGGCCUGCGAACUCCAUAUGCCGUGGAGCAGC